This 122-nucleotide small nucleolar RNA is filed under the name Erinaceus europaeus (western European hedgehog). RNAcentral describes it as "Small nucleolar RNA SNORA3/SNORA45 family (ENSEEUG00000023742.1)". The record is from RNAcentral. Lineage: Eukaryota; Metazoa; Chordata; Mammalia; Eulipotyphla; Erinaceidae.
GGCGAGGCUAGAGUCUAGGCGUGGCGUUGACCCCGCAUGCUGGAGUCCUCAGAGAGCAGCCGCUGGCCUCAUUCACUGGCUGUGGCCACGGGGCCGAGCCGGGCACCAGGCCAGGGACAGGC